This is a long non-coding RNA of Acanthopagrus latus (yellowfin seabream), 1182 nucleotides long. RefSeq lists it as uncharacterized. Lineage: Eukaryota; Metazoa; Chordata; Actinopteri; Spariformes; Sparidae. The transcript is spliced from 2 exons. The record is from RefSeq and is a predicted model, not a curated record.
AGAGCUGAAAACAAAACCGCAAGCGCCAAGCACGUCAGUCAUAUUAUUCCAAUCAUAUACCUAACCUAACCUUACAGUCGUCCAUCAAAGGUGGACAGGAAACCAAAUCAAAAAAGUUGUCUCUCUUCUGAUAUAAAUUACUGUUUAGUCAGUCAUACAUAUGCCGAAUUAAGCAGUGGAGCACAGGUAAUCCAAAAACAUCUUGUGUUUUAUUCUUCCAGACAUGCGCAUUAGCUGAUGAGCAAGAAUGUGAAAAUUUGCCAGAUUUGAAACGGAGUUUCGUCCAGCUUUCACUCACCCGUAUUCUCCUCAUCGCAGCCACAAUCUCCACUCGGCUGCUCGGCCGCGCGACAUCCAGGCUGCCGAUGUACUGUUGUCCGGAGGAUACAAUAUGACAGCUGCUUGAAUUUACCUUUGCCUCGAAGUUGAUCCCAUGCUGGAACGCUUCCUCGUUGUGCAACGGGAUCCUCAAAUCGUGCCCAUCAUCAACGAGGUUGUAUUUGGUUUUUCCAGGCAUUUUCAGUGCGUGACUACUACUCCGCACUGCCAGAGAAGAAUAUCAACGGGAAAACGAAACAGGUCAGUUGAACAGGCAAAGUAAUCCAAGAAGAAACAAUCCCAAAUCCGGUUUAGUACAUGUUCUCCAUCACAGCGAAGCGUCCUGGCAUUGCAGUGUUCCUACACCGCCCUCAACAGCGGCCAAGUGGCGGCAACUACUCCACCGGCGAUCCGGUGAGCGAAAAAAAAAAAAAAAUCACGUUAACGGCUUUAAAAACACACGUAGGCCACCAGGAACAGCGACAUGCGGUGCCAGAUGUGUUUCCCGACUUUUCCCGUGGUGAGUGUGGAAGUUGGUUGGGUCCUGCCUCCUGCCCUGGACUCUCCCCCUCUCGGCACGGAGGGAGGGUGUGAUUGGACGAGUCCGGGGACCCCACCUGUUUCCAUUGGAACAGAGGCGCACCGUGGCUCCGCGGAGGAGGGGCUCAGAGUCUGGUACCUGCCCCCCUCUCCUCCCUCUUACCCUCCACACACACAACACACACGGGAGUGGUGUGUCUUCCUGUAUUUACACACUACAACUCUGUAAAGGUUGUCUUUGUUAUGAACAGAUGUGAUAUAAUAACUUGCAGAUUGUUCGACGCAGAGUUGCACGUUAAGAAAAUAAAUCACCUGAUGGCUAAU